RNAcentral lists this ribosomal RNA (444 nucleotides) under Kosakonia sacchari. RNAcentral describes it as "bacterial SSU rRNA". It matches the Rfam family "Bacterial small subunit ribosomal RNA", at positions 86 to 526 of the family's 1533-position model. Lineage: Bacteria; Pseudomonadati; Pseudomonadota; Gammaproteobacteria; Enterobacterales; Enterobacteriaceae. The record is from RNAcentral.
GGGUGACGAGUGGCGGACGGGUGAGUAAUGUCUGGGAAACUGCCUGAUGGAGGGGGAUAACUACUGGAAACGGUAGCUAAUACCGCAUAACGUCGCAAGACCAAAGAGGGGGACCUUCGGGCCUCUUGCCAUCAGAUGUGCCCAGAUGGGAUUAGCUAGUAGGUGGGGUAACGGCUCACCUAGGCGACGAUCCCUAGCUGGUCUGAGAGGAUGACCAGCCACACUGGAACUGAGACACGGUCCAGACUCCUACGGGAGGCAGCAGUGGGGAAUAUUGCACAAUGGGCGCAAGCCUGAUGCAGCCAUGCCGCGUGUGUGAAGAAGGCCUUCGGGUUGUAAAGCACUUUCAGCGGGGAGGAAGGGAGUAAGGUUAAUAACCUUGCUCAUUGACGUUACCCGCAGAAGAAGCACCGGCUAACUCCGUGCCAGCAGCCGCGGUAAUAC